Long non-coding RNA from Nomia melanderi (Alkali bee), 363 nucleotides. RefSeq lists it as uncharacterized. Lineage: Eukaryota; Metazoa; Arthropoda; Insecta; Hymenoptera; Halictidae. The record is from RefSeq and is a predicted model, not a curated record.
CAAUGCCAAGCAGAAACGUCAAUAUUAUUUAUCACGGGACGGAAACUCCCAACAUUCUGACCUCCGAAUUAGAGUUGUGAGAUUGUUAUGUGUGUUGGUUUAAGUCUAACUGAUUUCUGUGUACCGGUAAGUUCGUUCAAUGGAACUAUAAGUUGCAGAGUGAAAAUAAAUUGUAAAGCAGUUAAAUAUGCAUUUAUUUAAUACCAAAUACAAUUUAUUGGAAAGUAUGUAGGAUGCACAAUAGGAAGACUUCAUAAUUAACGUGGUUUCGAAAUAAUCGAGGAACUUUCUCCACCACUACACUGAAUGCUGUGUACUAUCCUCAGACGACGUUUAUUCCGACGUCCGACAAACUUAAACAGC